RNAcentral lists this ribosomal RNA (494 nucleotides) under uncultured bacterium. Its description in RNAcentral is "partial 16S ribosomal RNA". It matches the Rfam family "Bacterial small subunit ribosomal RNA", at positions 28 to 507 of the family's 1533-position model. The record is from RNAcentral.
GACGAACGCUGGCGGCGUGCUUAACACAUGCAAGUCGAACGGAAAGGCCUGCUUUCCCUUGUGGAUUGCGGGUACUCGAGUGGCGAACGGGUGAGUAACACGUGAGUGAUCUGCCCCCAACUUGGGUAUAAGCCUGGGAAACUGGGUCUAAUUCCCGAUAGGACUGCAGGGUGGUGCCUGUGGUGGAAAACGAUUUUCUAGUGGUUGGGGAUGAGCUCGCGGCCUAUCAGCUUGUUGGUGGGGUAAUGGCCUACCAAGGCGGCGACGGGUAGCCGGCCUGAGAGGGUGGACGGCCACAUUGGGACUGAGAUACGGCCCAGACUCCUACGGGAGGCAGCAGUGGGGAAUAUUACACAAUGGGCGGAAGCCUAAUGCAGCGACGCCGCGUGGGGGAUGACGGCCUUCGGGUUGUAAACUCCUUUCGACCGCGAGGAAGCCACCUGGUUGGAAGGGUGGUGACGGUAGUGGUAGAAGAAGCACCGGCUAACUACGUG